Molecule: ribosomal RNA, 640 nt
Filed under: Emiliania huxleyi
Lineage: Eukaryota; Haptophyta; Isochrysidales; Noelaerhabdaceae
Description: SSU rRNA
Rfam family: Eukaryotic small subunit ribosomal RNA
Source: RNAcentral
CGCUCGUAGUCGGAUUUCGGGGCGGGCCGACCGGUCUGCCGAUGGGUAUGCACUGGCCGGCGCGUCCUUCCACCCGGAGACCGCGCCUACUCUUAACUGAGCGGGCGCGGGAGACGGGUCUUUUACUUUGAAAAAAUCAGAGUGUUUCAAGCAGGCAGUCGCUCUUGCAUGGAUUAGCAUGGGAUAAUGAAAUAGGACUCUGGUGCUAUUUUGUUGGUUUCGAACACCGGAAUAAUGAUUAACAGGGACAGUCAGGGGCACUCGUAUUCCGCCGAGAGAGGUGAAAUUCUCAGACCAGCGGAAGACGAACCACUGCGAAAGCAUUUGCCAGGGAUGUUUUCACUGAUCAAGAACGAAAGUUAGGGGAUCGAAGACGAUCAGAUACCGUCGUAGUCUUAACCAUAAACCAUGCCGACUAGGGAAUGGAGGAUGUUCCAUUUGUGACUCCUUCAGCACCUUUCGGGAAACUAAAGUCUUUGGGUUCCGGGGGGAGUAUGGUCGCAAGGCUGAAACUUAAAGGAAUUGACGGAAGGGCACCACCAGGAGUGGAGCCUGCGGCUUAAUUUGACUCAACACGGGGAAACUUACCAGGUCCAGACAUUGUGAGGAUUGACAGAUUGAGAGCUCUUUCUUGAUUCGA